CCUACGGGAGGCAGCAGUGGGGAAUAUUGCACAAUGGGGGAAACCCUGAUGCAGCGACGCCGCGUGAGUGAAGAAGUAAUUCGUUAUGUAAAGCUCUAUCAGCAGGGAAGAAAAUGAUGGUACUUGAGUAAGAAGCCCCGGCUAAUUACGUGCCAGCAGCCGCGGUAAUACGUAGGGGGCAAGCGUUAUCUGGAUUUACUGGGUGUAAAGGGAGCGUAGACGGCAGGGCAAGUCUGGAGUGAAAGGCGGGGGCGCAACCCCCGGACUGCUCUGGAAACUGUACGGCUAGAGUGCAGGAGAGGGAAGUAGAAUUCCAGGUGUAGCGGUGAAAUGCGUAGAGAUUAGGAGGAACACCAGUGGCGAAGGCGGCUUACUGGACUAUGACUGACGUUGAGGCUCGAAAGCGUGGGGAGCAAACAGGAUUAGAUACCCCUGUAGUC
Molecule: ribosomal RNA, 440 nt
Filed under: uncultured bacterium
Lineage: Bacteria
Description: partial 16S ribosomal RNA
Rfam family: Bacterial small subunit ribosomal RNA
Source: RNAcentral